AUGUAAUGCAACGCUUUGGGAGCGUGAUUGUUAAUAUUUGUAGAAGCAAACUCUAUAUAAGCGUGCCCUAAAUAUUUUCUAAAAAUUCCUGCUAUAAUUUCCCCCUAAAAUUUUUACUGAAAAAUUAUGCCCUAAAAUAUUCGCUAAAACCUGUCUCUCAUGUUCACAAGAAAAUCUCCUUUUUUUCUUCCUUAAAAUUCUAUAAUCAAAGUUGAGGGCUCUUCUCGUAUCUUUUAGCAGAUUGAUUGAAGCAAAUUAGAGUGAGUUCAAUUAAAUCUAUUGGGUUAUGUGGAAAUCGCUUAUGGAGAUGCUAAACUUUGUCUCGGUUAUGUGCCAUCCGAUUCAAUUGGGAAUCUCAUUGUUUAGGGUUUACUAUCGUUUAUCAAAACUUGGAUAAGAUGACUGCUAAUUUUGAAAUUAAGCUCUAUUAUUUUGUGAUGGGAGGUUAUUAUUCUUGAAAGGUGAAUGCUCUUCUUCUUUCAUACAGUAUUUGCUCUUUAGAGCAGGUUGAAAUAAUUGGGGAUUUCAUUGUUUAGGGAUUACAGCCGCAUCCAAAAACUUGGGUAAGACGACUUCUAAUUUUGAAGUUAAGCACUAUUAAUUCGUGAUGGAUGUUAUUAUUCUUGAAAGGUGGUGGAAGUAAUUUAUUGUUGAUUGAGGAGUAUUCAUCUGAUACACUCGUCUAUUGAGUGGCAAUCUUCGGACUUCUAGCAGUUUUAACUCCCCAAGGGAUACAGGGCGACUCUAGGUUCAAGGCUCCAAUCGUUCAUGCACUUUCGUAGAGGGAAGUUCUGGCGAGCAAUUGGAAAUAGUGGCCAAAGACAAUCUCAUCUAUGGGAAUUUAGUGAUGACAUUGGACAGUUAAAAUUUUUGUAUUCAUGAUAUUAUAGUAGUACGUUUGGAUUUGUAAAGUUGAAAUACUAGCAUGCCACUUGAAACAAUUUGCUUUAUGCAUUAAUGUAGUACACGAGAUUUAUUCUCUUUUGAAUUA
Molecule: long non-coding RNA, 991 nt
Organism: Nicotiana attenuata
Lineage: Eukaryota; Viridiplantae; Streptophyta; Magnoliopsida; Solanales; Solanaceae
Exons: 4
Source: RefSeq, a predicted model, not a curated record